CAUGCUAAAGCACUUUUUCAAUGUGCUCCCCAACGAGAAGGCGACGACCCAUUCGUAUGUCAAUCAAUAUCAACUUUCGAUGCCAUUGACUGCACCUACCAUGGUGACCACGGGUAACGGGGAAUCAGGGUUCGAUUCCGUACAGGGACCCUGACAAAUGACUACCACAUGCAAGAAAGGCAG
Non-coding RNA from Pelobates cultripes (western spadefoot toad), 183 nucleotides. The record is from the annotation of a GenBank genome assembly. NCBI's taxonomy places the organism in Eukaryota, Metazoa, Chordata, Amphibia, Anura, Pelobatidae.